Long non-coding RNA from Cheilinus undulatus (humphead wrasse), 1065 nucleotides. RefSeq lists it as uncharacterized. NCBI's taxonomy places the organism in Eukaryota, Metazoa, Chordata, Actinopteri, Labriformes, Labridae. The transcript is spliced from 5 exons. The record is from RefSeq and is a predicted model, not a curated record.
CCAAUAAACCUCAAUACAGAAUAAGAAAAUUAACCGCACAGUGAAAUGAAGUUUUUAGGGGUUUAUACCAUACCAAUAAUUGCCUCUCAAGAAGUCUGGCACCAGUAACAUUUGCCACAGCCCCCACCGCCACUGCAGGAGGGCAUCCAGUUAAAUGCGCAGAGCUAAAUAGUGCAGGUGAUGUAACUGAAGGGAAACUGAAGGAAAGCUAGGGUGAAGCCAGACAAGGAAGAAAAGGCCUAACAGACAUCCCAGUUUUGGCAUGGAAAGAAAAAAGCACUUGGAGCAGAGGACAAGGAGUGAUGAGAGCAAUCUGAAUGGACUACAGUGGUUACCGCUGCUUCAGACAACACUUCAAGGAAUGGCAAGGAAAUUUCAUGUCAAGAGACGUCACUGUCUCUGUGUGAGCUGAUUUGCCCCCACAGUAUAGGACAGACUACGGUUAACAUGAUGGGCUCUCUACAGCAGAUGGCUGCUCAGUGUCUCCUAUAGGAUCUAAGAGACUAUGGUGGGAGGACCCAGAACUGUCCAGUGGAGUCUGGGGCCAUGCUCCCCUGGCAUAAAUAACUGUACAUUUUAAAUUUUCUAUGCAUCAAUCUUGUGCACUUUGAGAGCAAGAGUAAGAGGCAAAAUCUAUGAAAAUGUUUGUUCUCACUAAACAAUUUUGUGUUCUUGUAGGUAUAAUAUGAGGGGUGUACCUAUCCCAAUUCACGGCCAUAAGAAGUCUUAAUUUUACCAGUGAGAGGCCUUACAUUUUUGAGUUAGACAUGUCCUUAUCCAUGCUUUGUUUUCUUGCCAGCCUUUGGUAGAUUUGAAUCAUCUUCCCCCACAAAUUUUUGCAUAUUCUUUAUAAAUCAGGGAAUUAGAUGUCAUUGGCGGUGGAUGUCCUACAUUUCCUGGAGGAGGACCCCAGACCCCUCAUUGAUUUUGUCUGACUCACUCUGAAUAAAUGAACUCUGUACUGUUGGGAAACACUUGUCCAGUUCUCUAGCAUCUAGCCACCAGGUUGCUCACUGAACAAUGUCUUGUUGCCCACCCUUAUUUAUUUGUGAAUUUUAAAUCGUA